Molecule: long non-coding RNA, 3160 nt
Organism: Pleuronectes platessa (European plaice)
Lineage: Eukaryota; Metazoa; Chordata; Actinopteri; Pleuronectiformes; Pleuronectidae
Exons: 3
Source: RefSeq, a predicted model, not a curated record
AGCAGAGGGGGUUUCAGACCAAGCUGCCUUCAUGAGAGCUGAAUCAGACCCUGUAGUCUUCUGCACACAUUCAUAAACCCUCCAUAACCACAGCUUGGUCUCAUAACUCCACAUAAAAACCUUUGGAAGUUCGAUCUGAUGAAGAGAAUCACUUUGCACGUUCUGCCCGAACCUCCACAUCUGGCUGAGGCUACAGAAAGUUGAUUUCACUUUACGCACACAUGGAUUGAACUACUCCCCCUCUGGCUGUUUGGGUUUGUGAAGCUGCACAGCUGCAACUUGUCAGAAACAUCCCUGACACGUGGCAAAACAUCACCAGAAAGCCAUGACAGGGGUUUGGUGUUUCAGAUCCAGCGAAAGACCAAAAGCUAAGUCCAGAUAUUCACAGAUUAUGGCUCAAAUGUCGGCGCUGACAUUUGAAGUUUGGGUAUUUCUGCGUCGUGCGUAAAAGUCCCUUUGUCUGAAAACACCCAGAGUGCUUCGGUGUGAACUCACCCACAGUCGUGACCAGGGUGUUGGCGAAGAACAUGGACGAGGCCAGGUCCCAGUUGGAGGUGACGGAGGAGUUCCUGAGCACGGACACGCCAUACUUGUUGGCCGUCAUCACCUUGACCAGAAAGAGUUCGAGCGACGCGGCGUUGACGCAGCUCUGGUUCAGAAAGUCCUGCUUCAGUACCUCCAUGUCCCGGCGCAGCUUGUCCUCCACCGGCCGCUCGAUGCUGGAGAACACCAGGGCUCCGAACAUCAGGUAGAUGAUGUAGAAGAGGAUGAAGCCUGUCAGCAGCAGCCACGACUUGCCCACAGAAUGCAUGUCUGUGCUUCACUCCGGGAUCAACAUCAGUGAAGCUGCGCACAGAGAUUCACUCCCCGCGUCUGAGGCCACUGUGCCUGCUGCUCUGAGUCAGUGGAAACAGUUUGAGGGGCUGGACCUGAGUGAACUUGAACCCCUCCUUUGUCACAUCAACCUCCUCCCACAGAAGAGGAGGAGGAAGAGGUGGAGGAGGAGGAGGAGGGUGUGUUCAGCUCCGGGUCCUGGAACUGCAUCCUGUUCAGAAUCCGGAUCCGGGAGAAACCUCAGUGAGUCAUGAAGUUAACACAGCGUCAUUUCACUCGAGGACACGUUUCUUUAAUUCAAUGAAAAGUUGGAUGAUCUUCGACAAAAACUUUUUUAAUAGAUUUCACUUCAACAAAAACUUUGACAUCAGUUUGAAAUGAAAAACGAUCAUCCCGUUUGCUCCUCUUGUGAGUCACUUCACUUAAACUUCCACCUUCUUUGUUCUGGUUCAAUCUGACAGACUUGAACAUUUUUAUAUUCAUUUGCAUUUGAAAGUUUUACAACCUUUCCCAGUUUCUGUUGAAACUCAAGGUGUCGAAGUCCAGUGAGAAAACGUCAGUGUCAAUGGUGAACAGACUGAGAAAGAAAAUACAAGUUUAAAGUCAACGAAAGCUGAAAAAUCAUGUAAAUAUAAUGUUGAACGGGCCUUUUCCAGGGAUGAGAAGCUGGUUAAUGUAAAUAUGUUCUACAGCAAUGGAGGGAAAUGAAUCCUUGCACAGGUGAAACUUACAAACUCUGUUCAAAUAUUGGAAUAAACUGUCACUUCCCCAUCAGACCGGUCACUGCUUAAUCCUAAAGGAGAUCAUGACCUGAACCAUGAGCAGAAGAGAAGCAGACGGAGGUUUCACAUGAUGAAGGAGCAGAACAGUCUCAGAUUUAAACCCCACAGAACAGAUCUGUGAGGAUUCAUCCAGGUCACGGCUUCUUCAGGAGUCAUACGAGUUCACAUCUGUAACGUCAGUGCAACACGUUGAUCUUCUGCAGAGGAGCACCGUGUGGUAGAGUGGAGAGAAAGUCCCAUUGUGCUGCUGAGUGGACAAAAGAAUCAGAUUCAACUUGAUGAUUAAAGCUUUUAUUUAUCUCUGUGCUUGGAUCCCAGAGUCACUUCACUGACACUUCACAACUUAUCUGUUGUUGUAUUUCUGUUGCUGACACAGACCUUGGAUCUGUGGAUAAGACGGUGACGUGCAUAUGUUCAUGUGAAUGCAGCCGUCUGCAGGCUUCCUGUGUUUCGGUGGCCUUGCUGCUCCUGGAUGAUCUCUGUGGGUCACAUGAGGCUCGGAGGUGGCUGCACUCAGGACGAGGGACAUGAGGACAAGAAAUCCACGUCUGAAUAGGACAGGAACAGGAAGACGAGAGCCCUGGUGUGGGUCAGAGGUUUCCCACCGGCUCUAAUGCCACUAACAAGAAUGAAAUCACACGGCACGAACACAGAGGGGCUGUAAAGACUCGUGUGAUCACGUCUGUGGUAAAGGUUUGAUAAUAACCCUGAGGAAGCAGCCGUGUGGAAACCUUUUGGUUUCUUCUGUCCCACCCAGUGCAGAACAGGGAGGAGUGGACCAAACAGUGGAUUUGAAGAAUCAUUUCACUUUCAUUCCAUCUGUGUAAAAACCAAGAAUAACCACAAUGCCACCAAAGCUCCAGCUCUUGUUUCCUCUCACAGUCGCAGUACAACUCUCUACUUUCUCCUGAAAGUCAUGACUGUCUAGUUUUUUGAUGUUUAUGUAAAAGGCGGCUGACUCAUGCUGUGUGGACGGCGAGGACGAGCAGUCUGCCCCCCCGCAGCCCUGUUUUCUUCCCCGCACUACAAAGCUGUGUUAUCACAGCUCUGCAGGCAGCUGCUCUGACUCAGCAGAACAAAGACUUUAACUCUUUCUGCACCACAGCCGCCUCAUGUUCAUCCACAUACAGGAUCACACUGAUGAUGCUGGAGUUAUAUAUCGACAUGUAAAGCAGCCGAGCUCUUUAACAUUCCCUGAGUCCUGAACUGUCAAACCUGCGAUGAACGUUAUGGAUCAAUUUCAAUAACUCCUGAGCCCCGAGCACUGUGAUGUGUGAAGAUAUGUGAAGGUGCAGGCAGGGGCUGCAUAAUGAGAGGGGUCCCUCAAGAGCCUCUGAUUCCAUUAGUCCACAGUGACUCAGUGAGCAGCUCCUUGGCUGAAACCUCCUGAUGAGGCCCCGUGAUAUUAGCUCUCUGCAAAAAGCUUUGUAACUUAUGAGGUUUGGUUGAAUGUGUGUGUGAUGUUCCUGUGACCACGGUGGAGGUUUGCACUUCACUGUUGUUUAUGUUCAUGCAAUGUUUAGACCUUGUUCGUAAUUUUGAUA